AUGUAUGACUUAAAAUAUAAAAACUGGUUCAAACCGGUUUCUAUCUUAUAUUUUACAUUCGGUCAUUAUUUUACAUUCACCAUUGUUGCAUUGCUAACGUGGCUAGAAGAGCUUAGUGAGAUAGCCAACAACUCACAAAAAAAAAAAAAUUGUGUUGCAAUUCCCGAACAAUCAUCAACAUGCCUAAAAGAAAGAGUGCUACCAAGGGAGAUGAGCCUGCAAGACGUUCAGCACGUUUGUCAUCUAGACCUGCGCCAAAGCCGGCGGCCAAACCCAAAAAAGCGGCAGCACCCAAAAAGCCAGUCAAAGGAAAGAAGGCAGCGGAGAACGGUGAUGCCAAGGCUGAGGUCUGAAAUAAGUCCAUUUCCCUCCCAUUUCUAGGCGAAGGUUGAAGCCGCCGGAGACGCCAAAUGAAGAACUGUUUGAAGUUGUGAUCAUUCUGUGUACUUGGUGACUGUACAGUUUAAAAUAAGUAUUUUUUACCAAGUUUUUUUUAUAUUAAAAGAUAUCAUUUAUAGUUCAUUGUGGGCUUACAUUUGACGUAAUGAAGCUGUUCCAAGGGGUUGUCACGUUCAUAUCCAUUUUUUAUGCCUUGUUGAAUACCGUCCAUAUGAAUACCGUCCAUAUCCUGUCCAAGUUUUAAAAAACCACACAAAAAAACUUCUAACCCUGUUUUUUUUACUGCUGAAUGUUAUUUUCCAACAUAAAUCUAAACAUUAAAGGCAGCUAAAGUGUGUUUCUAAAAUGUUUAAGAGGAAUAGGGUUUUUGCCACUCCUUUUAGUUUUUUAUUGUACAAGUAAUAUGAAUUAAUUACAUACCAAAUGUUUUGAAUCAACAUCAGAUCUUCUCAUUCAGGAGACAAAAGACACCGUUUGAAAGUAAUCACUAACUUGUAUUAGGUCAACACACAAAAUUAAUAAUGUGAACGUAAUCAUUUGUUCUAUUGUUUAUUUUAUUAAAUUGUUCUGUAAAAACAGUGGAAAGAGCUAUUGUGACGCCUAUGAAAUUUUAAAUGUUCUUGAAUAAAAUGAUAAAAAGGCUAUUUUUGCUUAAUUUAGACAUCAAUAUAACAUAGCAAAUCAUUAUUCAGCAGUUUGUGUACAAAUCCACACGUUUUCUAGAUCUGAUACUUUCCUAUUGGGCAGGGACAUCAACCUCUUCCUCUCAUGGGGAACCCGCUCUUCUUCCUUUAAGAAAAAUACAUAGAUAUAAUCCAUCCACUUGGAUUACAAUAUUGAGGCCUAACCAAUCCAUCCCUUUGAUGUCCAUAAAGGUAGUGCAUGGUUUAUGGGUUAUACAGUGCAUUAGGAAAGUAUUUCAGGCCACUUGACUUUUUACGGCCUUAUUCUAAAAUGGAGGACAAGUAUAUUAGUGUCUAGUUUGAGAAACAGACAAGUCCUCAAGGAGCAGCUCCAUUAAAUAGUACCUGCAAAACGCCAGUCUCAAUGUCAACAGUGAAGAGGUGACUCCAGGAUGCUGGCCUUCUAGGCAGAGUUGCAAAGGAAAAAGCAAUAUCUCAGACUGGCCAAUAAUACAGGAACUCUGUCUAGAAAGCCAGCAUCCCGGAGUCGCCUCUUGACUGUUGAUGUUGAGACAUGUUUUGGGGGUACUAUUUAAUGAAGCUGCCAGUUGGAAGACUUGUGAGGCGUCUCUGUUUCUCAAACUAGACACUCCAAUGUACUUGUCCUCUUGCUCAGUUGUGCAUCGGGGCCUCUCGCUCCUCUUUCUAUUCUGGUUAGGGCCAGUUUGCACUGUUCUUUGAAGGGAGUAGUACACAGCGUUGUACAAGAUCUUCAGUUUCUUGGCAAUUUCUCGCAUGGAAUAGCCUUCAUUUCUCAGAACAAGAAUAAACUGAUGAGUUUCAGAAGAAAGUUAUUUGUUUUUGGCCAAUUUUCAAACCCACAAAUGCUGAUGCUCCAGACACUCAACUAGUCUAAAGAAUGCCAGUUUGAUUGCUUCUUUAAUCAGUACAACAGUUUUCAGCUAUGCUAGCAUAAUUGCAAAAGGGUUUUCUAAUGAUCAAUUAGCCUUUUAAAAGGAUAACCGUGGAUUAGCUAACACAACGUGCCAUUGGAACACAGGAGUGAUGAUUGCUGAUAAUGGGCCUCUGUACGACUAGAUAUUCCAUUAAAAAUCAGAUGAUUCCAGCUACAAUAGUUAUUUACAACAUUAACAAUGUCUACUCUUUCUGAUCAAUUUGAUGUUAUUUUAAUUGACAGAAAAAUUUGUUUUUCUUUUAAAAAAACAAGGACAUUUCUAAGUGACCCCAAACUUUUGAAUGGUAGUGUAAGUCUUCAGACCCUUUACUCAGUACUUUGUUGAAGUACCUUAGCAGUUAUUACAGCCUAGAGUCUUCUUGGGUAUGACGCUACAAGCUUGGCACACCUGUAUUUGGGGAGAUUCUUCUGCCGACCCUCUCAAGCUCUAUCAGGUUGGAUGGGGAGUGUUGCUGCACAGCUAUUUUCAGGUCUCUCCGGAGAUGUUCGAUCGGGUUCAUGUUCGGCCUUUGGCUGGGCCACUCAAUGACUCUUCGCCACAGUCUGAGGUCCUGAGCACUCUGGAGCAGGUUUUCAUCAAGGAUCUCUGUACUUUUCUCCGUUCAUCUUUCCCUCGAUCCUGACUGGGUCUCCCAGUCCCUGCCGCUAAAAAACAUCCCCACAGCGUGAUGCUGCCAAAACCAUGAUGGUGCCAGGUUUCCUCCAGACGUGGCAUUUGUCAUUCAGGCCAAAGAUUUCACUCUUGGUUUCAUCAGCCCAGAUAAUCUUGUUUAUCAUGGUCUGAGAGUCCUUUAGGUGCCUUUUGGCAAACUCAAAGCAGGCUGUCAUGUGCCUUCCCUCUGGCCACUGUCAUAAAGGCCUGGUUGGUGGAGUGCUGCAGAGAUGCAUACGUUCCCGAAUGCACUAGAAUCUGACUAGAUUUCAAUUUGACAUGAGACAUCAGUGUGAUCUCUUUUAGCCUCCAAUAGAGGGCAGUGUCUGACCAGAAUUAAGGGACUUUAGUCAGUGGCUUCCCUGACCACUAGAUGGCUUUCUUAUCUCCAGCACUUUAGAAUUGACAGAAGGAGAGACCUGUUAGUGUUUUCAAUUUACAUACAUUGUACUUAGAGUUAAUAUACAUCCAACCAUUUGCAUCCCAAACUUUGCAACAUCAGCAUGGCUAGGCUCUAACACAUUUUGGUAAAUUAGAAGGAUAGCCUCCCCAAACCAAUGUGGGAAUUAGGAAAAAUAGCCGAAGCAAGUGGCUAUAUCUUUUCAACCAAAUAGGAGAGUGUAUGAUCUGCCUCUCCCUACAGUGGGAUGUCACACACAGACACAACACUCGCCCCACUGGCAAAAAUAUGUAAACCUGUGAGUGUCGCUAUCCACAACACAAGCCUAUACAGUACAAACCUGAGUCAGUGGAGGACUGUACAAACAGUCAGCAAAGAAGCAAAACAUUGAAACGUGGCCUUGACGCUGUCUAUACGAGGGGUUGGCCUGUGUGUCAUGUAUCAAAAUGAACAGAUGAGGAUUUCACACUCCACUGUCAUUCUGUUAAGGGAUAGUGAAGGUGCUCUCUAUCGCGCAGGUCUCACACAUUGGACUGGUGUGCCCUUUUCAAAUACUGUAGGCCUAUUGGAAUUCCCAAUAGUCAGGAGGCACUUAAUGGACAAGAAACGGGAAUUAACAUGAAAACAAUGUGAAAGCAGACUUUUCAACUGAAAAGAAACAUCCACUGUAAAUAUGUUAUGAAAAAAAACACUAGCCAGACAUCACAAGCGAUGGUAGUCCAUCUCCACCCUGCAAACCUCAUCCGCUGAGUUCAUGUGACGAGCAUGAAGGGUGAGGGGAUGGCAUCCUCAAAGACAAACGUUAAGCUAUACACAUAGGCCUACUAACAGUUAUUUGAGGGUGACUACCCAAAUGGGACUAGCUGGGAAGAGGAGGGAGUGGGAAAGUUUCUCACAAGGAGAACAAAUUAUGGGGAGGGGAAAGCAACCUAAGAGGAAGGUGGGGGGUUCUGAGAGUUCUGCUAUUUGUUCUAGGAUAGUGAUGACAAGAGGAAUGGAUAUGAACAUUACAAAUGUAUUUAGGUCUAUUUAAGCAAUAAGGCAUGAGGGGUUGUGGUAUAUGGUCAAUAUACCACAGCUAAGGGCUGUUCUUAUGCACAACGCAAUGUGGAGUGCCUGGAUACCACCCUUAGCCGUGGUAUCCAGAUUGCUAUUAUAAACUGGUUACCAACGUAAAAAUAGCAGUAAAAAUAAAUGUUUUGUCAUACCAGUGGUAUACAGUCUGAUAUACCAUGGCUGUCAGCCAAUCAGCACCCAGUUUAUAAUAAUGUAUAGCUUCUGUCUUCCAUCACCAUGGCAUUAGACAAGGGGCCAAAAGUGUGACACCAAUCAGGCUCCCGAGAACUGGAGUUGCCCAGCCCUGUUCAACUACAUACAACUAGCCUACGCAGCAGAGCACUAAACUAACCAUUUGUGUGCUAAAUGUCUGUCUGCUGCUCGUUGGGCCAAUAACCUAUCUUCAGUCAACGAAAGCAAUACUCCAACAACAGUCAAUCAAUUAUGUAGCCUAUAAACCGAAAUAAAACGCAACCACAUCGACCAAACGCGGUCUGUUUCUGUUUCAUUAGGGCUACAACAUACAUUUCAUGUAUAGGACAAACUUAUUAAUUACCAAUAAAGAAACAUUCUUUCUCUGACUAGAAAUACGUGUUAUCGAUCACACUAGGCGGGCUGAGCACAUUCUAUUCAGAGGAGUCUGUGUGACUUGUAUGCACACUUAAAUGUCUUGUGCACUCAUGGCUCAGAUUUCCCCACCCACCUCAUGUAUAUAGGCUGGCCUGGCUUCCUAUAUAGCUUGAUACGUGACCAUCGUGUGCUUGUACUCCCUCGUUUGAGCACAUUUCAACCAGCUCAAUCCGAGCACAGUUGCAGGUCAGUUCAAUCUACAACUUUUUAAAUGACACUUUUGCGCGAAAAUUAGUUUGUGUCCACAAUUGAUUUCCAACUGUUUGUAAUUGGUUGACUCAAUUAUUAAUUAACUAACAAUGGAAAUGAGCACGUACUGGAGGGGUAGAAAAAUUGUUGAAUUGUGU
This is a long non-coding RNA of Oncorhynchus mykiss (rainbow trout), 5083 nucleotides long. NCBI's taxonomy places the organism in Eukaryota, Metazoa, Chordata, Actinopteri, Salmoniformes, Salmonidae. The record is from Ensembl.